RNAcentral lists this transfer RNA (73 nucleotides) under Triticum aestivum (bread wheat). RNAcentral's name for it is "tRNA-Val (TAC) (tRNA-Val-TAC-6-1)". It matches the Rfam family "tRNA". Rfam says of the family: Transfer RNA (tRNA) molecules are approximately 80 nucleotides in length. The record is from Rfam by way of RNAcentral. Lineage: Eukaryota; Viridiplantae; Streptophyta; Magnoliopsida; Poales; Poaceae.
GUUGCUGUAGUGUAGUGGUUAUCACGUCAGUCUUACACACUGAAGGUCUCCAGUUCGAUCCUGGGCGGCAGCA